This 253-nucleotide ribosomal RNA is filed under the name uncultured bacterium. Its description in RNAcentral is "partial 16S ribosomal RNA". It matches the Rfam family "Bacterial small subunit ribosomal RNA", at positions 524 to 776 of the family's 1533-position model. The record is from RNAcentral.
UACGGGGGGGGCAAGCGUUGUUCGGAAUUAUUGGGCGUAAAGAGCUCGUAGGCGGCUUGUCACGUCGGGUGUGAAAGCCCGGGGCUUAACCCCGGGUCUGCAUUCGAUACGGGCUAGCUAGAGUGUGGUAGGGGAGAUCGGAAUUCCUGGUGUAGCGGUGAAAUGCGCAGAUAUCAGGAGGAACACCGGUGGCGAAGGCGGAUCUCUGGGCCAUUACUGACGCUGAGGAGCGAAAGCGUGGGGAGCAAACAGG